UGGGGCUGCUGGCACAUGUCCCUGACAGCGUGUGUGUGUGUAUGUGGCCAUGCGUGUACCUUGUGCACAUGUGUAUGUGUGUGCGUGUGCAUUUGUACGUGUGUGUGUGUAUGUGUGUGUGUGUGUGUGUCCCCAGGCACACAACAGGCAGAGAAAGGGCAGAGUGUGAAGUCUGCUUUCUUCCUCCGAGGUUGUCAGCUGCAGUUCCCUCCACCCCGCCUUGGGGGUGAGUCUGGAAGAAAUGAGCUCUGGAAAUUACUCCUUAAGUUGCGGUCUUCGGUCUCCGUUGCCUGACACUCGUAAAGUUAGUUUUACAAGCAGCCUAAACUCCCCUUUGCAAUGAUCGGCCGAUGGUGACCAGGCAUUUGCCUAGAUUUUUCUCUCCUCUAAAGGCAGGAUUCCAUCUCUGUACAAUCUGUGAAUUGUUCCCAGCGAGAUGGACCUCAUUUUGUUUCGCACCCCCACUGGCAACGCCAGGGGCUGUUGUGGAUGUGGUUUGGAGACCUGCGUCCAAGCAAUAAAAAUGAAUCUCCCCUGUGACCGUCUGGACGACGUGAGCAGAUCCCUCGUCUGGUUUUAAUGGGAGCGGGAAAUCACUAACAGAUGGCAGUGGCGCUCACAGGCUCCCCGCCUAGAACCCUUUCUGACGGCAGCUCGCCCCCCGCACGUGCGUCCCAGACGUGGGCUAUUUGCAGGACGCCUGGCCCCCCGCGAUGCUAAAUGUGUAGCAGCAGGGGGGCUGCGUGUGUGCCGGCUGAGGUCAUGGUUAUUCGUUUGGAGGAGAGGCGUUUGGUUUAUAAAACCCCAGCAACUCCACGGGGAGGGCCUUUCGGGGAAGAAAACCAGCCUGGGGUUCGCUUCCUGUUCCGACGCCGGUGGGAUCAGCGCUGACAUCACUGGCCCUGGACGGGCUCUGGGCGAAGUUGCCUUUUGGAGGAGGCGGCUGUGAGUCAUGGUGAUUUAUUGCAAACCCACCAAAAAUGUGGCGGAUGCGUACAGGCCCCAACCAGAAGGCACAGAAACUGCUAGGAAAUUACAUGAGGGGUCGGAAAUGGACAUGUGGGGGCUUUGCAAGAGGCUUUGGGACAAGUCGCUUUCUGGAAACUUUUGUAAUAUCAAAGUGCGGGGGAGGGGCCAGGCGCUUUCUCACUCCCUCUCCAGCGCUUAGGGUAUGCACGCCCGUGAACUUGUUAAACCGUGUCGGGGGUGGCGGGCAGCGGGGGGGUUAAUCCACCCACCACAACAGCACAUCUGAGACCCAUCUUCUACCUUGGUCACAGCUGGCCGCAAUGCCAGAUCCUCAACCCACUGAGCACGGCCAGGGAUCGAACCUGCCUCCUCACCAACACUGUGUCAAGUCCUUAACCUACUGAGCCACAACGGAAACUCUUGUAUUUCUGAUACUUUUAAACCACACAUAUAGAGGAGAAGUUUCAAGAAAAAAAAAUCUGUCUCCUUUAAUUGGUCAUUUAGAAAUGACGGGGGGUGGGGG
This 1492-nucleotide long non-coding RNA is filed under the name Sus scrofa (pig). RNAcentral's name for it is "lncRNA (ENSSSCG00025019578.1)". The record is from RNAcentral. Lineage: Eukaryota; Metazoa; Chordata; Mammalia; Artiodactyla; Suidae.